UAGGGAAUCUUCCACAAUGGGCGAAAGUCUGACCGAGCAACGCCGCGUGAGUGAAGAAGGUUUUCGGAUCGUAAAACUCUGUUGGUAGAGAAGAACGUUGGUGAGAGUGGAAAGCUCAUCAAGUGACGGUAACUACCCAGAAAGGGACGGCUAACUACGUGCCCG
RNAcentral lists this ribosomal RNA (165 nucleotides) under uncultured bacterium. RNAcentral describes it as "partial 16S rRNA". It matches the Rfam family "Bacterial small subunit ribosomal RNA", at positions 355 to 511 of the family's 1533-position model. The record is from RNAcentral.